Molecule: transfer RNA, 57 nt
Filed under: Cricetulus griseus (Chinese hamster)
Lineage: Eukaryota; Metazoa; Chordata; Mammalia; Rodentia; Cricetidae
Rfam family: tRNA
About the family: Transfer RNA (tRNA) molecules are approximately 80 nucleotides in length. Their secondary structure includes four short double-helical elements and three loops (D, anti-codon, and T loops).
Source: Rfam by way of RNAcentral
AGCUCAGUGAGUAGAGUGCUUGCCUAGCAUGCAUGAAGCCCUGGGCUCGAUUCCCAG